Tripterygium wilfordii is the source of this 156-nucleotide ribosomal RNA. RefSeq annotates it as 5.8S ribosomal RNA. The transcript has a single exon. The record is from RefSeq and is a predicted model, not a curated record. NCBI's taxonomy places the organism in Eukaryota, Viridiplantae, Streptophyta, Magnoliopsida, Celastrales, Celastraceae.
GACUCUCGGCAAAGGAUAUCUCGGCUUUUACAUCGAUGAAGAACAUAAUGAAAUGUGAUACUUGGUGUGAAUUACAGAAUCUCGUGAACCAUCAAGUUUUUGAACUCAAGUUGCGCCUGAAGUCGUCAGGCCGAGGGCACGCCUGCCUGGGUGUCA